AGUGAACGCUGGCGGUAGGCCUAACACAUGCAAGUCGAACGGCAGCACAGUAAGAGCUUGCUCUUACGGGUGGCGAGUGGCGGACGGGUGAGGAAUACAUCGGAAUCUACUUUUUCGUGGGGGAUAACGUAGGGAAACUUACGCUAAUACCGCAUACGACCUACGGGUGAAAGCAGGGGAUCUUCGGACCUUGCGCGAUUGAAUGAGCCGAUGUCGGAUUAGCUAGUUGGCGGGGUAAAGGCCCACCAAGGCGACGAUCCGUAGCUGGUCUGAGAGGAUGAUCAGCCAGACUGGAAGUGAGACACGGUCCCGACUCCUACGGGAAGCAGCAGUGGGGAAUAUUGGGCGAUGGGCGCAAGCCUGAUCCAGCCAUACCGCGUGGGUGAAGAAGGCCUUCGGGUUGUAAAGCCCUUUUGUUGGGAAAGAAGAGCAGCAGGUUAAUACCCCGCUGUUCUGACGGUACCCAAAGAAUAAGCACCGGCUAACUUCGUG
RNAcentral lists this ribosomal RNA (492 nucleotides) under uncultured bacterium. RNAcentral's name for it is "partial 16S ribosomal RNA". It matches the Rfam family "Bacterial small subunit ribosomal RNA", at positions 29 to 507 of the family's 1533-position model. The record is from RNAcentral.